GGUCACUCUCUCUCUGACAUGUGUCUGUCUGUCUCAGGUCACUCUCUCUCUCUGACAUGUGUCUGUCUGUCUCAGGUCACUCUCUCUCUCUCUCUGACAUGUGUCUGUCUGUCUCAGGUCACUCACUCUCUCUGACAUGUGUCUGUCUGUCUCAGGUCUCUCUCUCUUUGACAUGUGUCUGUCUGUCUCAGGUCACUCUCUCUCUCUGACAUGUGUCUGUCUGUCUCAGGUCUCUCUCUCUC
Non-coding RNA from Pelobates cultripes (western spadefoot toad), 242 nucleotides. The record is from the annotation of a GenBank genome assembly. Lineage: Eukaryota; Metazoa; Chordata; Amphibia; Anura; Pelobatidae.